CAGCAGGAAACCUCAGAUCACUGCACCUUUGCCUGGCUUCUCGGAGUCACUCUGGGAGGCGGCUGCACAGGGGUGUGGCCCUGCCUUUCAAGCACAGGGAGUUCCACCCUGCUGGGCUGCUUCUGGAGGAUGAGGAUGCCCGCCGCCGUGGGCCGGGAAAGCCGAGGCCCCGCAAGCCGUCUGUCACAACGUGCGGUGCAGCAGAGGGGGAGCCUCCGAAUUUCCACAGUUGUUUCCGGAACAAAACUGAUCAACACCAUCUCUUAGGAGGUCAUCAUCUCCUGGGACAGAACACGGGACGAGGAAGUCGGGCGUGUGGAGUGCACAGAGCUGCCUUGAUGACUUCCGGCUCAGCCUGGGACCUUGACCCCCCCCU
This 376-nucleotide long non-coding RNA is filed under the name Fukomys damarensis (Damara mole-rat). RNAcentral describes it as "lncRNA (ENSFDAG00000024161.1)". Lineage: Eukaryota; Metazoa; Chordata; Mammalia; Rodentia; Bathyergidae. The record is from RNAcentral.